CAGCAGGUUCGGGGCUUUAUCGCAAAGCACCUGGACUCAUUUCGGGCAGGCACGUAGUUCUGUUCACACAGGACAGACCGGAGGCUCAGUCUUUUCCUAAAGUCACGGAGCUGGUGAACGAAGGAGCUGGGAUUGGAACCCGGGUUUGCGUGAUUCCGAAGUUUGUGUGUAUGCCUGGUGUGUGACACCCCCUCCCUAAAUCUUCACCAGCGUGAAGAUUUCCUGAGCGCUUGGGAAGGAGACUGCUGCUCAGAGAGACUGAGGAUCCAAGUUACUUAGCCUGGCUCUUUCACUGCCACCUCUGGGGUCCUGGGCAAAUACCCCCCAUUAAUCUUUUCUGAUUGUGCUUCACGUCCAAGGCUGCCCUCUGCCUCGCUCCCCGCUGUGUCCCUACCCUUCAUUCUAUUCAGGGGUCUCCUUACCCCACCUACCCACCUCAUCCUCGUCCCACUGAACCUGACUCUGAACUACAGAGGUGGGCCCCCACCCCCACUCCCAAACAACUACCUGCCCCUCCGGCUGCCUCCAGGUCCACUGGGAAUUUGCCCCUAAUUGCAUCUCAGGCUGGGAGGCUAUUAGUUUGUGAUUGCGUCCCCAGGGCCUGCCCUGCCCCCUGGGCGCCCACUCUCAGCUUCCACAGGGGUUCGAGAUGACGUAAAUCCCCAAUCUGAGAACCUGGCCAGCUCAGCUCACCAGCACCCUGCCGCCCAGUCCUGGGUGGGCUGGGUCCCCUCACUCUGGGGCAGCAGGAGGAGGCUCCCAGCCAGUGGAGCGCAGUGCACACAGCACGGAGCAGGCCAGGGAACCCGGAGAACACUCCCAUCAU
RNAcentral lists this long non-coding RNA (826 nucleotides) under Equus caballus (horse). Its description in RNAcentral is "lncRNA (ENSECAG00000045955.1)". The record is from RNAcentral. Lineage: Eukaryota; Metazoa; Chordata; Mammalia; Perissodactyla; Equidae.